AUUGAACGCUGGCGGCAGGCAUAACACAUGCAAGUCGAGCGAGCGGCGGACGGGUGAGGUAUGUCUGGCAAAAUGCCUGAUGGAGGGUGAUAAAUACAAGCAACGGUAGCACAUCCCCCAUACCCUCAGGUUUGCCCAGAUGGGAUUAGCUAGGAGGUGGGGUAACGGUCCACCAAGGCGACGAUCCUUAGCGGGUCUUUGAGGAUGACCAGCCACACGGGAACUGAGACACGGUCCAGACUCCUACGGGAGGCAGCAGUGGGGAAUAUUGCACAAGGGGCGCAAGCCUGAUGCAGCCAUGCCGCGUGUGUGAAGAAGGCCUUCGGGUUGUAAAGCACGUUCAGCAGGGAGGCGUUACCCGCAGAAGAAGCACCGGCUAACUCCGUGCCAGCCGCCGCGGUAAUAC
This 406-nucleotide ribosomal RNA is filed under the name uncultured bacterium. RNAcentral describes it as "partial 16S ribosomal RNA". It matches the Rfam family "Bacterial small subunit ribosomal RNA", at positions 29 to 526 of the family's 1533-position model. The record is from RNAcentral.